AAUUAGCGGCCGCGAUUCGCCCCUGUGCCAAGCAGCCGCGGUAAUUCCAGCUCCAAUAGCGUAUAUUAAAGUUGUUGCGUUAAAAAGCUCGUAGUCGAACUUCGGCGCCUGAUGGCCGGUCCGCCUUCUUGGUGUGUACUUGCUCAUCGGGCGCUUACCUCCUGGUGAACUCUGAUGUCCUUUACUGGGUGUCAGAGCAAACCAGGACGUUUACUUUGAAAAAAUUAGAGUGUUCAAAGCAGGCCUACGCCCGAAUACAUUAGCAUGGAAUAAUAGAAUAGGACGCGCGUUCCCAUUUUGUUGGUUUCUGAGAUCGCCGUAAUGAUUAAUAGGGAUAGUUGGGGGCAUUUGUAUUCCGUCGUCAGAGGUGAAAUUCUUGGAUUGCCGGAAGACAAACUACUGCGAAAGCAUUUGCCAAGGAUGUUUUCAUUGAUCAAGAACGAAGGAAGGGGGAUCGAAAACGAUCAGAUACCGUUGUAGUCUCUUCUGUAAACUAUGCCAAUUGGGGAUUAGCACAGGAUUUUCAAUGACUGUGUUAGCACCCGAAGAGAAAUCUUUAAAUGAGGUUCGGGGGGGAGUAUGGUCGCAAGGCUGAAACUUAAAGGAAUUGACGGAAGGGCACCACCAGGUGUGGAGCCUGCGGCUUAAUUUGACUCAACACGGGGAAACUCACCAGGUCCAGACACAAUAAGGAUUGACAGAUUGAUAGCUCUUUCUUGAUCUUGUGGUUGGUGGUGCAUGGCCGUUCUUAGUUGGUGGAGUGAUUUGUCUGGUUAAUUCCGAUAACGAACGAGACCUUAACCUGCUAAAUAGACCAGUCGACUUUGGUUGACUGCUGUCUUCUUAGAGGGACUAUCAGCGUUUAGCUGAUGGAAGUUUGAGGCAAUAACAGGUCUGUGAUGCCCC
Molecule: ribosomal RNA, 906 nt
Filed under: uncultured Sporidiobolales
Lineage: Eukaryota; Fungi; Basidiomycota; Microbotryomycetes; Sporidiobolales
Description: SSU rRNA
Rfam family: Eukaryotic small subunit ribosomal RNA
Source: RNAcentral